This 468-nucleotide ribosomal RNA is filed under the name uncultured bacterium. RNAcentral's name for it is "partial 16S ribosomal RNA". It matches the Rfam family "Bacterial small subunit ribosomal RNA", at positions 28 to 507 of the family's 1533-position model. The record is from RNAcentral.
GACGAACGCUGGCGGCGUGCUUAACACAUGCAAGUCGAACGGAAAGGCCCUGCUUUUGUGGGGUGCUCGAGUGGCGAACGGGUGAGUAACACGUGAGUAACCUGCCCUUGACUUUGGGAUAACUUCAGGAAACUGGGGCUAAUACCGGAUAGGAGCUCCUGCUGCAUGGUGGGGGUUGGAAAGUUUCGGCGGGUGGGGAUGGACUCGCGGCUUAUCAGCUUGUUGGUGGGGUAGUGGCUUACCAAGGCUUUGACGGGUAGCCGGCCUGAGAGGGUGACCGGCCACAUUGGGACUGAGAUACGGCCCAGACUCCUACGGGAGGCAGCAGUGGGGAAUAGUGCACAAUGGGCGGAAGCCUGAUGCAGCAACGCCGCGUGCGGGAUGACGGCCUUCGGGUUGUAAACCGCUUUCGCCUGUGACGAAGCGUGAGUGACGGUAAUGGGUAAAGAAGCACCGGCUAACUACGUG